RNAcentral lists this ribosomal RNA (254 nucleotides) under uncultured bacterium. Its description in RNAcentral is "partial 16S ribosomal RNA". It matches the Rfam family "Bacterial small subunit ribosomal RNA", at positions 524 to 776 of the family's 1533-position model. The record is from RNAcentral.
UACGGGGGGAGCAAGCGUUGUUCGGAUUUACUGGGCGUAAAGGGCGCGUAGGCGGUCGUGACAAGUCACUUGUGAAAUCUCCGGGCUUAACUCGGAACGGUCAAGUGAUACUGUCGGACUAGAGUACAGAAGGGGCAACUGGAAUUCUCGGUGUAGCGGUGAAAUGCGUAGAUAUCUGGAGGAACACCGGUGGCGAAGGCGGCAUCCUGGACCGACACUGACGCUGAGGAGCGAAAGCCAGGGGAGCAAACGGG